ACGGAGGGUGCAAGCGUUAUUCGGAAUUACUGGGCGUAAAGGGCGUGCAGGCGGGAGAGCAAGUCUGGUGUGAAAGCCCGGGGCUUAACCCCCGAAGGGCAUUGGAAACUGCUUUUCUUGAGUUCUGGAGAGGAAGGGAGAAUUCCCGGUGGAGAGGUGAAAUGCGAAGAGAGCGGGAGGGACAUCAGUGGCGAAGGCGCCCGUCUGGACAGCAACUGCCGCUGAGACGCGAAAGCGUGGUGAGCAAACAG
This 251-nucleotide ribosomal RNA is filed under the name uncultured prokaryote. RNAcentral describes it as "partial 16S rRNA". It matches the Rfam family "Bacterial small subunit ribosomal RNA", at positions 525 to 775 of the family's 1533-position model. The record is from RNAcentral.